Betta splendens (Siamese fighting fish) is the source of this 68-nucleotide small nucleolar RNA. Ensembl annotates it as small nucleolar RNA U54. Its record names the gene SNORD54. Lineage: Eukaryota; Metazoa; Chordata; Actinopteri; Anabantiformes; Osphronemidae. The record is from Ensembl.
UGAGCAAUGAGGAUGACAUUUUGAUUGAUGAACCCUGACGACGUUGUACGCUAUUCUGAGCCACAGCU